RNAcentral lists this ribosomal RNA (200 nucleotides) under uncultured bacterium. RNAcentral describes it as "partial 16S ribosomal RNA". It matches the Rfam family "Bacterial small subunit ribosomal RNA", at positions 8 to 204 of the family's 1533-position model. The record is from RNAcentral.
AGAGUUUGAUCCUGGCUCAGGACGAACGCUGGCGGCGUGCCUAAUACAUGCAAGUCGAGCGGACUUGUUGGAGCUUGCUCCUUCAAGUUAGCGGCGGACGGGUGAGUAACACGUGGGCAACCUGCCUGUAAGACUGGGAUAACUUCGGGAAACCGGAGCUAAUACCGGAUGACACCAAAGAACUCCUGUUCCUUGGUUGA